Drosophila grimshawi is the source of this 49-nucleotide regulatory RNA element. It matches the Rfam family "K10 transport/localisation element (TLS)". From Rfam's summary of the family: This family represents the 44 nucleotide K10 transport/localisation element (TLS) from Drosophila melanogaster. K10 TLS is responsible for the transport and anterior localisation of K10 mRNA and acts to establish dorsoventral polarity in the oocyte. NCBI's taxonomy places the organism in Eukaryota, Metazoa, Arthropoda, Insecta, Diptera, Drosophilidae. The record is from Rfam.
UGCUUAAUUGUAUUUUUAAAUUAAUUCUUAAAAAUUACAAAAUUAAGAU